GCGUAACGCGUAUGCAACCUACCUUAGUCAGGGGGAUAGCCAGAAGAAAUUCGGAUUAACACCGCAAAAAAUCACAGUACAGCAUUGUACAAUGAUCAAAUAUUUAUAGGAUUAAGAUGGGCAUGCGUGUCAUUAAUUAGUUGGCGAGGUAACGGCUCACCAAGACCACGAUGACUACGGGAUCUGACAGGAUGACCCCCCACACUGGUACUGAGACACGGACCAGACUCCUACGGGAGGCAGCAGUAAGGAAUAUUGGUCAAUGGAGGCAACUCUGAACCAGCCAUGCCGCGUGCAGGAAGACAGCCCUCUGGGUCGUAAACUGCUUUUAUUCGGGAAUAAACCUACUUACGUGUAAGUAGCUGAAUGUACCGAAGGAAUAAGGAUCGGCUAACUCCGUGCCAGCAGCCGCGGUAAUACGGAGGAUCCAAGCGUUAUCCGGAUUUAUUGGGUUUAAAGGGUGCGUAGGCGGCUUAUUAAGUCAGGGGUGAAAGACGGUGGCUCAACCAUCGCACUGCCCUUGAUACUGAUGAGCUUGAAUACACUAGAGGUAGGCAGAAUGUGACAAGUAGCGGUGAAAUGCAUAGAUAUGUCACAGAACACCGAUUGCGAAGGCAGCUUACUAUGGUGUCAUUGACACUGAGGCACGACAGCGUGAGGAUCAAACAGGAUUAGAUACCCUGGUAGUCCACGCCCUACACGAUGAAUACUCGCUGUUAUCG
This 722-nucleotide ribosomal RNA is filed under the name soil bacterium Amik-S1N-M1LLLSSL-3. RNAcentral describes it as "bacterial SSU rRNA". It matches the Rfam family "Bacterial small subunit ribosomal RNA", at positions 108 to 828 of the family's 1533-position model. The record is from RNAcentral.